UAUAUACUCCCUUCGUCCGAAAAUACUUAUCAUCAAAAUGGAUAAGAAAAGGUGUAUCUAUAACUAAAAUACGUCUAGAUACAUCAUCUUUUAUUCAUUUUGGUGACAAGUAUUUCUGAACGGAGGGAGUAUAUU
Non-coding RNA from Triticum urartu, 135 nucleotides. NCBI's taxonomy places the organism in Eukaryota, Viridiplantae, Streptophyta, Magnoliopsida, Poales, Poaceae. The record is from Rfam.